CUUAAUGUUUCUAGCUGUCAGCCACUAUUACUGUGAAACUGCGAAUGGCUCAUUAAAUCAGUUAUCGUUUAUUUGAUAGUACCUUACUACUUGGAUAACCGUGGUAAUUCUAGAGCUAAUACAUGCUAAAAAUCCCGACCUCUGGAAGGGAUGUAUUUAUUAGAUAAAAAACCAAUGCCUUCGGGCUCCUUGGUGAUUCAUGAUAACUUAACGAAUCGCAUGGCCUUGCGCCGGCGAUGGUUCAUUCAAAUUUCUGCCCUAUCAACUUUCGAUGGUAGGAUAGUGGCCUACCAUGGUUUCAACGGGUAACGGGGAAUUAGGGUUCGAUUCCGGAGAGGGAGCCUGAGAAACGGCUACCACAUCCAAGGAAGGCAGCAGGCGCGCAAAUUACCCAAUCCCAAUCCGGGGAGGUAGUGACAAUAAAUACUGAUACAGGGCUCUUUUGGGUCUUGUAAUUGGAAUGAGUACAAUUUAAAUCCCUUAACGAGGAACAAUUGGAGGGCAAGUCUGGCCCCC
Molecule: ribosomal RNA, 516 nt
Filed under: Arthrobotrys eudermata
Lineage: Eukaryota; Fungi; Ascomycota; Orbiliomycetes; Orbiliales; Orbiliaceae
Description: SSU rRNA
Rfam family: Eukaryotic small subunit ribosomal RNA
Source: RNAcentral